RNAcentral lists this transfer RNA (73 nucleotides) under Bos taurus (domestic cattle). It matches the Rfam family "tRNA". Rfam says of the family: Transfer RNA (tRNA) molecules are approximately 80 nucleotides in length. Their secondary structure includes four short double-helical elements and three loops (D, anti-codon, and T loops). RNAcentral also lists the same sequence under 5 other names. Lineage: Eukaryota; Metazoa; Chordata; Mammalia; Artiodactyla; Bovidae. The record is from Rfam by way of RNAcentral.
UCCCUGGUGGUCCAGUGGUUAAGACUUUGCAUUUCUACUGCAGGGGGCAUGGGUUCAAUCCCUAGUCAGGGGG